RNAcentral lists this ribosomal RNA (392 nucleotides) under uncultured bacterium. Its description in RNAcentral is "bacterial SSU rRNA". It matches the Rfam family "Bacterial small subunit ribosomal RNA", at positions 29 to 410 of the family's 1533-position model. The record is from RNAcentral.
AAUGAACGCUGGCGGCGCGCCUAAUACAUGCAAGUCGAGCGAGAAGACGUAGCAAUACGUUUGUAAAGCGGCGAACGGGUGAGGAAUACAUGGGUAACCUACCCUAGAGUGGGGAAUAACUAGCCGAAAGGUUAGCUAAUACCGCGUACGCUCCUUGGACUUCGGUUCAGGGAGGAAAGCGAUACCGAGGGUAUCGCGCUCUUGGAUGGGGCUCAUGUCCUAUCAGCUUGUUGGUGAGGUAACGGCUCACCAAGGCUUCGACGGGUAGCUGGUCUGAGAGGACGAUCAGCCACACUGGCACUGCGACACGGGCCAGACUCCUACGGGAGGCAGCAGUAAGGAAUAUUGCGCAAUGGGCGAAAGCUUGACGCAGCGACGCCGCGUGGGGGAUG